GUCAGACACCUGGGAGCCAAACCUGAGAAUAAAAAGGGUCACAAAAAGUUCAGGAUUUUAAAAGUUUCCUUAUCUGAAAAAUAGUUCUCAAAAUUAAUCUGUUUGAGCUCAAACAUGCCAGUGAGCAGAGAAGUCAGGGGAAUGCUAUCUCCACUCAGUGGCUCCCCUUCUCACCCUCCCCACACCCUUCACUCUUGGACUACUGUCAUGUGGAAUGGGCUCUGCCCCUGCCAAACAGAGAGCUGUCGACCUAUUUCUCCAGAGAUAAACCUUUAAAAAAUAUUUCCCAGUAAAGGUAGUGAGUUGGGUAUGAUCAUUCCCACCAUUAGGGCCAGUUCUCCUUCUGUACCUAGCACAGUGCCUGGCACAUAGCUGGUAAGCAGAAAUACUUCCUGAGCAAUGGACUCUGGGCUGCAACUGGAUCAACUACUGGGAGGCAGCCCUUUCCUCCAGAUGCAUUUCCAUUUUGCACAGGUCGAAUCUGAAUCAGUCUCAGCUGCCCUUUCAGCAGACAUCUCUGGUUUAUUUCUUCUCACAAUGAACUGUACUAUUGUUCUUUAGAAUCCAUUGUGUUAUUGAAUUUAUGAAACUGAAAAAUAACUGAUUGAAGCCAGAUACUACGGACUAGCCAUGCUGCAGUCAUGCUGUAUCUCAGACACAAAAUACACAUUAACUAGGGACAGUUCUAGGUCCAGCUGUGAGACAGGGUGAGGAUUGUGAUGUCUAUCUCUCC
This 733-nucleotide long non-coding RNA is filed under the name Marmota monax (woodchuck). The record is from RNAcentral. Lineage: Eukaryota; Metazoa; Chordata; Mammalia; Rodentia; Sciuridae.